GGUUACAUCCCUCACUCUGCCCUCCACAGCAUUCAGAGAGGUUACAUCCCUCACUCUGCCCUCCACAGCAUUCAGAGAGGUUACAUCCCUCACUCUGCCCUCCACAGCAUUCAGAGAGGUUACAUCCCUCACUCUGCCCUCCACAGCAUUCAGAGAGGUUACAUCCCUCACUCUGCCCUCCACAGCAUUCAGAGGUUACAUCCCUCACUCUGCCCUCCACAGCAUUCAGAGGUUACAUCCCUCACUCUGCCCUCCACAGCAUUCAGAGGUUACAUCCCUCACUCUGCCCUCCACAGCAUUCAGAGAGGUUACAUCCCUCACUCUGCCCUCCACAGCAUUCAGAGGUUACAUCC
This is a long non-coding RNA of Oncorhynchus keta (chum salmon), 353 nucleotides long. RefSeq lists it as uncharacterized. The record is from RefSeq and is a predicted model, not a curated record. Lineage: Eukaryota; Metazoa; Chordata; Actinopteri; Salmoniformes; Salmonidae. The transcript has 3 exons.